RNAcentral lists this long non-coding RNA (503 nucleotides) under Homo sapiens (human). Its description in RNAcentral is "non-protein coding lnc-BAIAP2L1-2:1". The record is from RNAcentral. Lineage: Eukaryota; Metazoa; Chordata; Mammalia; Primates; Hominidae.
AGACAGAUUCUUCUUGAAAUGAGACCUUUGCUCUGGAGUCCGGCAGGGCUCAGACCCUGCUCAGGACAAGCCCCUAGGACCAGUGGACACUGCCUGUGGGCUCCUCCUGGCUGCACGUUGGCACCGACCAGCCCUUCGCCUCCAUCUCCAUCGGGGCCUGCUACCAGGUGUGGGCCGUGGCAAGGGACGGCUCCGCCUUCUACCGGGGAUCCGUGUACCCCUCGCAGCCAGCCGGUGACUGCUGGUACCACAUCCCGUCCCCACCGAGACAGAGGCUGAAGCAGGUGUCCGCGGGGCAGACGUCGGUGUAUGCCCUGGAUGAGAAUGGAAACCUGUGGUAUCGCCAAGGGAUCACGCCCAGCUACCCGCAGGGCUCCAGCUGGGAGCACGUGUCCAACAACGUGUGCCGAGUGUCCGUGGGGCCCCUGGACCAGGUCUGGGUGAUCGCCAACAAAGUGCAGGGCAGCCACAGCCUGAGCCGGGGGACAGUGUGUCAUCGCACC